UACGAGAGGUGCAAGCGUUAUUCGGAAUCAUUGGGCGUAAAGGGUGCGUAGACGGUAUGUUUAGUCUGUUGUUAAAUCUUUCGGCUUAACCGAAAAUCUGCAAUGGAAACUGGCAUGCUAGAGUAUGGAAGAGAUAAGUGGAAUUCUUGGAGUAGCGGUAAAAUGCGUAGAUCUCAAGAGGAACACCGAUGGCGAAGGCAGCUUAUUGGUCCAUUACUGACGUUGAGGCACGAAAGCGUGGGGAGCAAACAGG
Molecule: ribosomal RNA, 253 nt
Filed under: uncultured bacterium
Lineage: Bacteria
Description: partial 16S ribosomal RNA
Rfam family: Bacterial small subunit ribosomal RNA
Source: RNAcentral